UUAUUUAAAAUGGAACUAAUUUGACAGCAGAUCAGUCAAGAAUAACUGUCAGGUUCGUAUAAAUAGCAGGCCUCUAUACACCGAGUUGUCAUCAACCACCAUCACCAGACUUGUGCCGGAUAACAGGUGUCUUUUGUACGUGUUGGAGAAGUAUCACUAUGUUUGCAUACACGAUACUGCUGGUAGCAUGUGCAGUGGCUGGGAGCGCUGCCUCUAAGGCACACGGGUUGAAUAUCCAGCCUAGUAUCUCGUUAGGACAUCCAGCGAUGAUAGCAGGGAAUACUUUUCAAAGCCAAGGGGUAAGGCAUCUAGGUUCCAUUCAAAGGCCUCAUUCCUGCUCCAAAGGUGGUGUCUAAUUCUGCGAUUGGGGCUUCCAACAUUCUCCAUAGCGACGCCACAAGAGGACUGUUUAGUAACCAAGCCAUAUUCGGCAAUCCAGCACCGGCAUUAGUAGCGCCAAACACACUGGGAGCGAUCAUCAGUCCGACCCAUUUCGCUACUAAUGCUGCGUCAACCUUUAACAUUGGAAUCGGAAACUCUGCAGCAUACGAUACCGCUGGGUCAAUUGGAGCGACCUAUUUACUAAAUAAUCCCGGCAUUUCGCUCAACAGUCCAGGCCGCAGAUUCCCAACGUCUAAAAAGGCGGGAAGCUAUUGAACUAUGGAAAUCAACGCGAUGAUGAGUUGAAGACAAAAUCGUAUUUGAAUGUGAAUUUAUGUAUUUUGCUACUUGUAUAUAAAGAAUCUUUACAGAC
Molecule: long non-coding RNA, 754 nt
Organism: Pecten maximus
Lineage: Eukaryota; Metazoa; Mollusca; Bivalvia; Pectinida; Pectinidae
Exons: 3
Source: RefSeq, a predicted model, not a curated record